Molecule: ribosomal RNA, 780 nt
Filed under: uncultured bacterium
Lineage: Bacteria
Description: bacterial SSU rRNA
Rfam family: Bacterial small subunit ribosomal RNA
Source: RNAcentral
AGAGUUUGAUCAUGGCUCAGAUUGAACGCUGGCGGCAUGCCUUACACAUGCAAGUCGAACGGUAACGCGGACUUCGGUCUGGCGACGAGUGGCGAACGGGUGAGUAAUAUAUCGGAACGUGCCCUGGAGUGGGGGAUAGCUCGGCGAAAGCCGGAUUAAUACCGCAUACGAUCUAAGGAUGAAAGUGGGGGAUCGCAAGACCUCAUGCUCCUGGAGCGGCCGAUAUCUGAUUAGCUAGUUGGUAGGGUAAAAGCCUACCAAGGCUACGAUCAGUAGCUGGUCUGAGAGGACGACCAGCCACACUGGGACUGAGACACGGCCCAGACUCCUACGGGAGGCAGCAGUGGGGAAUAUUGCACAAUGGGCGAAAGCCUGAUGCAGCGACGCCGCGUGAGGGAUGACGGCCUUCGGGUUGUAAACCUCUUUCAGCAGGGAAGAAGCGCAAGUGACGGUACCUGCAGAAGAAGCACCGGCUAACUACGUGCCAGCAGCCGCGGUAAUACGUAGGGUGCAAGCGUUGUCCGGAAUUAUUGGGCGUAAAGAGCUCGUAGGCGGCUUGUCGCGUCGGUUGUGAAAGCCCGGGGCUUAACCCUGGGUCUGCAGUCGAUACGGGCAGGCUAGAGUUCGGCAGGGGAGACUGGAAUUCCUGGUGUAGCGGUGAAAUGCGCAGAUAUCAGGAGGAACACCGGUGGCGAAGGCGGGUCUCUGGGCCGAUACUGACGCUGAGGAGCGAAAGCGUGGGGAGCGAACAGGAUUAGAUACCCUGGUAGUCCACGCUGU